This 847-nucleotide small RNA is filed under the name uncultured Conexibacter sp. RNAcentral describes it as "bacterial SSU rRNA". The stretch from base 1 to 471 matches the Rfam family "Bacterial small subunit ribosomal RNA", at positions 1064 to 1533 of the family's 1533-position model. Lineage: Bacteria; Bacillati; Actinomycetota; Thermoleophilia; Solirubrobacterales; Conexibacteraceae. The record is from RNAcentral.
GUCGUGAGAUGUUGGGUUAAGUCCCGCAACGAGCGCAACCCCCGUCGCAUGUUGCCAGCAUUUAGUUGGGGACUCAUGCGAGACUGCCGGUGACAAACCGGAGGAAGGUGGGGAUGACGUCAAGUCAUCAUGCCCCUUAUGUUCAGGGCUACACACGUGCUACAUUGGCGCGUACAGAGGGCUGCGAUACCGCGAGGUGGAGCGAAUCCCUUAAAGCGCGUCUCGGUUCGGAUUGAAGGCUGAAACUCGCCUUCAUGAAGGCGGAGUUGCUAGUAAUCGCGGAUCAGCAUUGCCGCGGUGAAUACGUUCCCGGGCCUUGUACACACCGCCCGUCACACCACGGAAGCAAGCAACACCCGAAGCCGGUGGCCUAACCCUUUUGGGAGGGAGCCGUCGAAGGUGGGGCUCGUGACUGGGGUGAAGUCGUAACAAGGUAGCCGUACCGGAAGGUGCGGCUGGAUCACCUCCUUUCUAGGGAAGUCUCCAGGAUUGGAGCGCCUGGACCGCCUCGAGCUGCAUUCCGCAGCGCGAUGAGCGGCCAGGUCCUAGCAAUGUCGACCGAGUCUGGACGCAGGCGCGCGCCCUUGUGGCGGGUGCCUCGCAUGCUGUUGAGUUUUGAGAGACCGACGGCGAAGCCCGCCGGCGCCUCUUGCGCGGUCCUUGAAAACUGCACAGUUUUUCCAAUGUAACGGGUAUCACCGCGUGCUCGACGCCAAGUCGAGCGCGUGAUCACCGUCAAGAUAAGAAGGGCACACGGUGGAUGCCUAGGCACCAGGAGUCGAUGAAGGGCGUGAACGGCUGCGAUAAGCCACGGGUAGGCGCUGAAUAGCCUGUGAUCCGUGGAUUC